Long non-coding RNA from Gossypium arboreum, 535 nucleotides. RefSeq lists it as uncharacterized. The transcript is spliced from 2 exons. The record is from RefSeq and is a predicted model, not a curated record. NCBI's taxonomy places the organism in Eukaryota, Viridiplantae, Streptophyta, Magnoliopsida, Malvales, Malvaceae.
AUUCUUUCUUCUUCAACCGUGGGAAAGAACAGAAAAUAGCAGCCAUGGAUGAGCUCCAUUCGCCAAGCUUUUAUGGCUUAUAUAGAGUUUCCAGGUUAGCUCGGGUUGGAGGCCGUCGGAGAUAUUAUCACCCUAUCGAGUUAACGUUAUCGGAGUAAGUAAACUCAAGUGAUUGAGUCUAUGGCAUGUAUAGGGUUUUAAUGUGAGUAUGUAAUAUUAUGAUUUAGCCAAAGGCGUUGGCUUGUUAUUAAGGUAGUAUUAGUCAUGUAAAUUGGCCUAUGUCGGCUAAUGACAUUAUGGGCCCAUAUGAUUAUUCUUAUGCAUGUAUGUUAUUAUCUCUUGUGAUGUGGCUUACAACAUGUAUGCCUAGAGAUUGAAUUGAGAUUCAUUGAUGAGCUAGUAACUAAUGCAGGAUUAAGUGAUUGGUAAAUAGUUAAUAAUGCUUCAUGAAUGGUUUGUGAGGUAAUGAUAGUUAUGUCUAGUAUGUGGUAAUGAUAUGGGCAAAUUCUAUAAUAUUUAUUGCAUAAGAAAAUAA